GUUUGAUGGAGGUUGGAGGAGCCGACAGUGUACAGUUUAAUGCCUGUACAUGGCCUAGGGUUAAGUAGGCCAUGGCCUGUAUGGAUUUUACUGGUUCUGUCUUCUCGGUCAAAUUGAGAUAGCAAGUUGUUAUUUUUCAACUUUCAGUUUAUACAUUUAAAUUUUUUAUUUAUUAUUCUACUGUAUUGUUUUACUGUGAUUUGGGGCAAUGAUUUAAAGGGCUUAUUUUGUCUGCAAGGCAAGCACCUUCAGAACGCAGCUGCCGAGCGCAAUUCAUUGACCCCGGAAUGUAGGAAUUUAGAGCACUGCGUGUGAAGGUGGACGUCCAUAUAAAAACGGCUAAUUUGGAUAUUACUUAUUCUCGUGUUGUUCGACAGCAAGGGACGCUGCCUACCAUUGAAGUAAUUGUUGUACAAAAUUGUUUUGUGGGUUUCUCCUCUUUCUCUACAUGCAAAUAAGCUAAAUAGUGUUGCACGUCAUGAUUUGCAAUUGGGUGAGUUGCAGUGGAGUUCUGAUCAUGUUGGCCUUGGUUAACAUUACUACAGCUACCACUAAUUUACGCCAAGAAGUAUUUGUUACUCACUUAGUACCACAUGUUUCUGACAAUUUGAUGGUCUAUCAUAGGGAACAUCGGUCACCACCAGCGCUGCCACUAGUUGUAGCUGAUGUAACGAUUGAACGUACGACUCCCAAACGUUUGGCCUUUGCUGAAACACCUAGACCAACUUAUGUUCCACCGACCUCAACACCGGGCAUUAUCAACCUAGUUGUUCCAGUAAUUGUGGAAACUCGAACUACUGCUCGAUUAGCUGAUUCCUCUGCGCUUUAAUUUAACGGUCCUUGAGUUCACUACCUUCGUAAGUUUUAAUCUUUUUAUUUUCACAAGGAACCAUCGCCCACCAUCACACAGAAGAGAUAGGCCUUUUGUGUCCUGUAAAGGUGUUGGCUAAUUUGUAUGGUGGUGGCCCUAUAAAGUCUCUUAAAGUGUGUCUUCUAUUUAUUUUGCCACAAACACCAUCAAUAAAUUCAUCUGUUACACAAGACUCGAUUCAAUCUGAGUAUUAUGGAUGAGACAAACAAAAACGGUGGGUAUUUGCAGUAAUUAAUUUAAGUUUCACGUUGUCCCACAAAUAUUUCGGCGUUCGUCUUUAACUUGAACUUACCCCACCCACUUCGUUUCGUGUUUCAUCGAUUCGGUUAUGUCAUCCCUACCUACCACUCGAAAAGGGGUAGGCGUUUCAUUUCACACCCAACCUGCGCACCCUGUGCUGUUUUCGACUUCUUUCUUUGGUAAAUUUUCUCAGUUUGUGGUUACGUGUUGAUCAGGUCAAACCUUUGCGCGUGCCCAUCUCUUCUCUCUGCAAGCUGAAAUGGAUGACUGCUUGUUUUCUCCUACGGAUCCUGACUCGCCGCUGACUGUGAAUCCUUUCGCCAAGUAGGAGAACGGCAGUACAACUGAAAAUAACGCCAGUCAUCGCCGUGUGCUGCUUAUCCUGUGGCUGCAACGAACCGUGUGGGCUAGAAAAGGAAACGAGCUUUUGACAGAUGGAUUCCAUCAGUUCGCUGGAAUAUCAUCUGAGAAUGUCAAUGAACUCGGAAUAUGAAAUGAAAAAAGUGAAUGUGACGCGAACGACUCGCCUUCCAUUUGUCGCCUUAUAAAAGUUUCACAUCUUUUAGCUGUUGGCAAUCAAGCAUUAUCAUUGACAAUAUCGACGAUCUUUUGAUAGACCUUCAUUUUCAGUAGGGGGUGUAGGAUGGACGGACCACCGUCUUACUUUACGCCACCCACUUUGCCUUAUGUAAGUGUGUUUUUAUCGAUUCUGUUAAGUCAUUCCUUCCUACCACCUAAAAAGGGUAGGCGUUUUAUUUCACACCCAACCUGCAUCCCAAUCCAUUUUCUGGUUCUUUCUUUGAUAAAUUUUCUUAGUUUGCUCUUACUCGACACUCGUUGAGGGCCCGUCUCUUCACCCCACGGAUUGAAGGAUAUUAUCGCUUACUAUUUACUCUGCGUAUUUAUUUAAGUUUAAUGCGAACGUGUAAUUAAUCUACUUGGUUUUUUAGGUACGUACCUCCUUACACCAGCAGUCAUUUGUCAUCUUAAUUGCAAUGUUAACGAUUGGUCGAUUUUUUAUUUGAAACAGCAUAAAAUAGCAUAUUUUUUUUUUUCGUACAUUAUUUCGAAAGAUGUCAAA
This 2192-nucleotide unclassified non-coding RNA is filed under the name Daphnia pulex (common water flea). RNAcentral describes it as "uncharacterized LOC124207154, transcript variant X5". Lineage: Eukaryota; Metazoa; Arthropoda; Branchiopoda; Diplostraca; Daphniidae. The record is from RNAcentral.